Non-coding RNA from Pelobates cultripes (western spadefoot toad), 1136 nucleotides. The record is from the annotation of a GenBank genome assembly. NCBI's taxonomy places the organism in Eukaryota, Metazoa, Chordata, Amphibia, Anura, Pelobatidae.
AUUUGGCUUUCUGGAUAGAUUUACCAUGCUGCAUAGCUCACAUUUGUUCCAAGAAAGCUGCUAUCUUCAGUCAGGACCAUUAAUCCGACCAAAGAUCGCUCUGGUAGCUCAGUCAUCGAGCCAUGAUAUUAAGUGCAAUGUACUUCACUAAAAGCGGACUCAGACCACAGUGCUUCAAAAGCCCUUAAUGAUAUGAAAGUAUCUCACAAUAGCGAUAACCAUCUGACUUGUUUGAGGAGGAAAAAAAGAUGAUUAAAUGGUGAGCAGCAGUGAAUUGAAAACUGAAGUGCACAUUUAAGGCCAUUGUCUAAAGGGCAUUGUCUAAAGCAAAAUCUCUAAUUGUGCUAUUUUUUCAUAUUACCUAUGUUGGCCUAAAAUUUGCCGUUUUGUAUCUCUCUGCAAUUCCAUUUCAAACUCUUAUUUUCCUUUAAUAUUAUUUUCUGUUUAACAAAACCAAUCUAUUGUGUAAAUGAGAACUGUACAGAAUCUUUUUGACUAUAUAUGUAGCAAUACUUUUUAAAAGUAACAGACGCAAGCACAAACACAAUGGGCUUAUACAUUAUACUGAAUUGAUGCCGUCUGUUAUUGUAAGGGUUGGCUCCUUAUUAAAUGUUCUUAGUGAUAAAACUUUAUUUAAAACGUAAAGCUCGACCAUGUGAUCAAAAAGGUCACUACUCUGGACCAAGCUGUAACAUGGUAGGAGUUAGGUUUCAUGCAAAGAUAUUCUAUAGUGUGUUGGGAUAACUGUACAGAAGCCCAGAGAGGUCAUGUAUUUUUAAAAACUUUCUGACUUGUUAUCUGGAGAAAACAAAUUGUUCUCAAGAUAACUUGUUUUCUUGAGAACUUUUUUUUCACAAGAAAACAAAUUGUUUUCUUUAGAUAACAAGUCAGAAUACUAUUAAAAAUACAUGGCCUCUCUGGGAUAUAACUGUGAUCUGCAAGACUGAUGUUAACCUGCCUGGCUUUACUUUGUUGAAGCAAGGGGUGUGCCCUAAUGUAACAAUUGACAGUGGUAGUUUGUCACAAGAAUGUUGUGUUUUUUUUUCCCAUAUAGAGUUAUUUACAAGUUGCUAGAAUAUCAAAGUGAAUUUAAAGUAAAUUUAAAAAUUUAGGCCAAAAUUUUCCAAUUUGAAAAA